UACGGGGGGGGUAAGCGUUGUUCGGAAUCACUGGGCGUGAAGGGCGCGUAGGCGGGAUGGCAAGUCAGUCGUGAAAUCUCUCGGCUCAACCGAGAAACGUCGGCUGAUACUGCCGUUCUUGAGGGAUGCAGAGGAGACUGGAAUUCCCGGUGUAGCGGUGGAAUGCGUAGAGAUCGGGAAGAACAUCAGUGGCGAAGGCGGUCUGCUGGGCCGUUGCUGACGCUGAGGCGCGACAGCGUGGGGAGCAAACAGG
Molecule: ribosomal RNA, 253 nt
Filed under: uncultured bacterium
Lineage: Bacteria
Description: partial 16S ribosomal RNA
Rfam family: Bacterial small subunit ribosomal RNA
Source: RNAcentral